UAGAGUUUGAUCAUGGCUCAGAUUGAACGCUGGCGGCAGGCCUAACACAUGCAAGUCGAGCGGUAACAGAUUGAUAGCUUGCUAUCAAUGCUGACGAGCGGCGGACGGGUGAGUAAUGCCUGGGAAUAUACCCUGAUGUGGGGGAUAACUAUUGGAAACGAUAGCUAAUACCGCAUAAUCUCUUUGGAGCAAAGAGGGGGACCUUCGGGCCUCUCGCGUCAGGAUUAGCCCAGGUGGGAUUAGCUAGUUGGUGGGGUAAUGGCUCACCAAGGCAACGAUCCCUAGCUGGUCUGAGAGGAUGAUCAGCCACACUGGAACUGAGACACGGUCCAGACUCCUACGGGAGGCAGCAGUGGGGAAUAUUGCACAAUGGGGGAAACCCUGAUGCAGCCAUGCCGCGUGUAUGAAGAAGGCCUUCGGGUUGUAAAGUACUUUCAGUUGUGAGGAAGGCGUUGAAGUUAAUAGCUUCAGCGUUUGACGUUAGCAACAGAAGAAGCACCGGCUAACUCCGUGCCAGCAGCCGCGGUAAUACGGAGGGUGCGAGCGUUAAUCGGAAUUACUGGGCGUAAAGCGCAUGCAGGCGGUCUGUUAAGCAAGAUGUGAAAGCCCGGGGCUCAACCUCGGAACAGCAUUUUGAACUGGCAGACUAGAGUCCUGUAGAGGGGGGUAGAAUUUCA
This 677-nucleotide ribosomal RNA is filed under the name uncultured Vibrionaceae bacterium. Its description in RNAcentral is "bacterial SSU rRNA". It matches the Rfam family "Bacterial small subunit ribosomal RNA", at positions 1 to 671 of the family's 1533-position model. The record is from RNAcentral. Lineage: Bacteria; Pseudomonadati; Pseudomonadota; Gammaproteobacteria; Vibrionales; Vibrionaceae.